RNAcentral lists this unclassified non-coding RNA (314 nucleotides) under plant metagenome. RNAcentral's name for it is "partial contains 5.8S ribosomal RNA, internal transcribed spacer 2, and large subunit ribosomal RNA". The stretch from base 1 to 105 matches the Rfam family "5.8S ribosomal RNA", at positions 50 to 154 of the family's 154-position model. The record is from RNAcentral.
GAAAUGCGAUAAUUAAUGUGAAUUGCAGAAUUCAGUGAAUCAUCGAGUCUUUGAACGCACAUUGCGCCCCCUGGUAUUCCGGGGGGCAUGCCUGUCCGAGCGUCAUUGCCGCCCUCCAGCACGGCUUGUGUGUUGGGCUUCCGUCCCUGGCAACGGGGACGGGCCCAAAAGGCAGUGGCGGCACCAUGUCUGGUCCUCGAGCGUAUGGGGCUUUGUCACCCGCUCCCGUAGGUCCAGCUGGCAGCUAGCCUCGCAACCAAUCUUUUUAACCAGGUUGACCUCGGAUCAGGUAGGGAUACCCGCUGAACUUAAGC